GGUGAAGUGUCCGAGUGGCUGAAGGAGCACGCCUGGAAAGUGUGUAUACAGGAAACUGUAUCAAGGGGUUCGAAUCCCUUCUUCACCGCCA
Molecule: transfer RNA, 91 nt
Filed under: Pseudomonas sp. BIGb0427
Lineage: Bacteria; Pseudomonadati; Pseudomonadota; Gammaproteobacteria; Pseudomonadales; Pseudomonadaceae
Description: tRNA-Ser
Rfam family: tRNA
About the family: Transfer RNA (tRNA) molecules are approximately 80 nucleotides in length. Their secondary structure includes four short double-helical elements and three loops (D, anti-codon, and T loops).
Source: RNAcentral